Molecule: ribosomal RNA, 253 nt
Filed under: uncultured bacterium
Lineage: Bacteria
Description: partial 16S ribosomal RNA
Rfam family: Bacterial small subunit ribosomal RNA
Source: RNAcentral
UACGUAGGGUGCAAGCGUUAAUCGGAAUUACUGGGCGUAAAGCGUGCGCAGGCGGCUUUGCAAGACAGAUGUGAAAUCCCCGGGCUCAACCUGGGAACCGCAUUUGUGACUGCAGGGCUAGAGUGCGGUAGAGGGGGAUGGAAUUCCGCGUGUAGCAGUGAAAUGCGUAGAUAUGCGGAGGAACACCGAUGGCGAAGGCAAUCCCCUGGACCUGUACUGACGCUCAUGCACGAAAGCGUGGGGAGCAAACAGG